CCUACGGGCGGCAGCAGUGGGGAAUAUUGGACAAUGGGGGCAACCCUGAUCCAGCCAUGCCGCGUGUGUGAAGAAGGCCCUCGGGUUGUAAAGCACUUUCAGUGAGGAAGAACGCCUGGUGGUUAAUACCCAUCAGGAAAGACAUCACUCACAGAAGAAGCACCGGCUAACUCCGUGCCAGCAGCCGCGGUAAUACGGAGGGUGCGACGUUAAUCGGAAUUACUGGGCGUAAAGCGCGCGUAGGUGGCUUGAUAAGCCGGUUGUGAAAGCCCCGGGCUCAACCUGGGAACGGCAUCCGGAACUGUCAAGCUAGAGUGCAGGAGAGGAAGGUAGAAUUCCCGGUGUAGCGGUGAAAUGCGUAGAGAUCGGGAGGAAUACCAGUGGCGAAGGCGGCCUUCUGGACUGACACUGACACUGAGGUGCGAAAGCGUGGGUAGCAAACAGGAUUAGAUACCCCGGUAGUC
Molecule: ribosomal RNA, 464 nt
Filed under: Vreelandella stevensii
Lineage: Bacteria; Pseudomonadati; Pseudomonadota; Gammaproteobacteria; Oceanospirillales; Halomonadaceae
Description: partial 16S ribosomal RNA
Rfam family: Bacterial small subunit ribosomal RNA
Source: RNAcentral